GAUGAACGCUGGCGGCGUGCCUAAUACAUGCAAGUAGAACGCUGAAGGAGGAGCUUGCUCUUCUGGAUGAGUUGCGAACGGGUGAGUAACGCGUAGGUAACCUGCCUGGUAGCGGGGGAUAACUAUUGGAAACGAUAGCUAAUACCGCAUGACAACAGUUAUUGCAUGAUAACUGUUUAAAAGGGGCAACUGCUCCACUACCAGAUGGACCUGCGUUGUAUUAGCUAGUUGGUGAGGUAACGGCUCACCAAGGCGACGAUACAUAGCCGACCUGAGAGGGUGAGCGGCCACACUGGGACUGAGACACGGCCCAGACGCCUACGGGAGGCAGCAGUAGGGAAUCUUCGGCAAUGGACGGAAGUCUGACCGAGCAACGCCGCGUGAGUGAAGAAGGUUGUCGGAUCGUAAAGCUCUGUUGUAAGAGAAGAACGAGUGUGAGAGUGGAAAGUUCACACUGUGACGGUAUCUUACCAGAAAGGGACGGCUAACUACGUG
Molecule: ribosomal RNA, 495 nt
Filed under: uncultured bacterium
Lineage: Bacteria
Description: partial 16S ribosomal RNA
Rfam family: Bacterial small subunit ribosomal RNA
Source: RNAcentral